RNAcentral lists this ribosomal RNA (260 nucleotides) under uncultured bacterium. Its description in RNAcentral is "partial 16S ribosomal RNA". It matches the Rfam family "Bacterial small subunit ribosomal RNA", at positions 524 to 776 of the family's 1533-position model. The record is from RNAcentral.
GACGUAGGGCGCAAGCGUUGUCCGGAUUUAUUGGGCGUAAAAGAGCUCGUAGGCGGCUUGCCACGUCUGCCGUGAAAACCAGCAGACUUAACUGUUGGCUUGCGGUGGAUACGGGCAGGCUGGAGGCUGGUAGGGGCAAGCGGAAGUUCCUGGUGAUAGCGGUGAAAUGCGCAGAUAUCGAGGAGGAACACCGGUGGCGAAGGCGGCUUGGCUGGGCCAGCACUGACGCUCAUGCACGAAAGCCGUGGGGAGCAAACAGG